This 259-nucleotide long non-coding RNA is filed under the name Monodelphis domestica (gray short-tailed opossum). RNAcentral describes it as "lncRNA (ENSMODG00000038173.1)". Lineage: Eukaryota; Metazoa; Chordata; Mammalia; Didelphimorphia; Didelphidae. The record is from RNAcentral.
AUGUGGUUUGAUUCUAUUUGUGUGAAAUGGAUUUUGAAAUUGUGUUCAUCUAGUUCCUGGUUUGUCUUGGCAAAUAGACUCCCCAUUACAGGUUUCCAUAUCAUGAUGCAUGCUGGAGCAAAAAGGGAAGCAAAUAAAAUCAAGAUGUUAUCAAAGAAAGAAGAGCCGGGGCAUGAUUUUCACUACAAAUGUUUCCUACGUAGCCUAAACCAACCCUAUGAGUUGAAGACAAUUAAAUGAACAGUAUCAUAUUGUAAAU